This 425-nucleotide ribosomal RNA is filed under the name uncultured bacterium. Its description in RNAcentral is "bacterial SSU rRNA". It matches the Rfam family "Bacterial small subunit ribosomal RNA", at positions 354 to 796 of the family's 1533-position model. The record is from RNAcentral.
GUGGGGAAUCUUGCGCAAUGGGCGAAAGCCUGACGCAGCCAUGCCGCGUGAAUGAUGAAGGUCUUAGGAUUGUAAAAUUCUUUCACCGGGGACGAUAAUGACGGUACCCGGAGAAGAAGCUCCGGCUAACUUCGUGCCAGCAGCCGCGGUAAUACGAAGGGGGCUAGCGUUGCUCGGAAUUACUGGGCGUAAAGGGCGCGUAGGCGGACAGCUUAGUCAGAGGUGAAAGCCCAGGGCUCAACCUUGGAAUUGCCUUUGAUACUGGCUGUCUUGAGUUUGGGAGAGGUGAGUGGAACUCCGAGUGUAGAGGUGAAAUUCGUAGAUAUUCGAAAGAACACCAGUGGCGAAGGCGACUCACUGGCCCAAUACUGACGCUGAGGCGCGAAAGCGUGGGGAGCAAACAGGAUUAGAUACCCCUGUAGUCC